UACGCAGGGGGCUAGCGUUGUCCGGAUUUAUUGGGCGUAAAGAGCGUGUAGGCGGCCAGGUAGGUCUGCUGUGAAAACUCGAGGCUUAACCUCGAGAUGUCGGCGGAAACCAUCUGGCUAGAGUCCGGAAGAGGAGAGUGGAAUUCCUGGUGUAGCGGUGAAAUGCGCAGAUAUCAGGAAGAACACCCGUGGCGAAGGCGGCUCUCUGGGACGGUACUGACGCUGAGACGCGAAAGCGUGGGGAGCGAACAGG
RNAcentral lists this ribosomal RNA (253 nucleotides) under uncultured bacterium. Its description in RNAcentral is "partial 16S ribosomal RNA". It matches the Rfam family "Bacterial small subunit ribosomal RNA", at positions 524 to 776 of the family's 1533-position model. The record is from RNAcentral.